UACGAAGGGGGCUAGCGUUGCUCGGAAUUACUGGGCGUAAAGGGAGCGUAGGCGGAUAGUUAAGCCAGAGGUGAAAGCCCAGGGCUCCAACCUUGGAAUUGCCUUUGAUACUGGCUAUCUUGAGUAUGGGAGAGGUAAGCGGAACUCCGAGUGUAGAGGUGAAAUUCGUAGAUAUUCGGAAGAACACCAGUGGCGAAGGCGGCUUACUGGCCCAUUACUGACGCUGAGGCUCGAAAGCGUGGGGAGCAAACAGG
This 254-nucleotide ribosomal RNA is filed under the name uncultured bacterium. Its description in RNAcentral is "partial 16S ribosomal RNA". It matches the Rfam family "Bacterial small subunit ribosomal RNA", at positions 524 to 776 of the family's 1533-position model. The record is from RNAcentral.